This is a ribosomal RNA of Pteropus vampyrus (large flying fox), 119 nucleotides long. The record is from Ensembl. NCBI's taxonomy places the organism in Eukaryota, Metazoa, Chordata, Mammalia, Chiroptera, Pteropodidae.
GACUAUAGCCAUACCACCCUGAAUGUGCCCGAUCUCAUCUGAUCUUGGAAGCUAAGCAGGGUUGGGCCUGGUGAGUACUUGGAUGGGAGACAAGCUACGAAGACCAGGUGCUGUAGGUA